This 255-nucleotide ribosomal RNA is filed under the name uncultured bacterium. Its description in RNAcentral is "partial 16S ribosomal RNA". It matches the Rfam family "Bacterial small subunit ribosomal RNA", at positions 524 to 777 of the family's 1533-position model. The record is from RNAcentral.
UACGGGGGGGGGCAAGCGUUGUUCGGAAUUACUGGGCGUAAAGGGCUCGUAGGUGGCCAACUAAGUCAGACGUGAAAUCCCUCGGCUUAACCGGGGAACUGCGUCUGAUACUGGAUGGCUUGAGUUUGGGAGAGGGACGCGGAAUUCCCGGUGUAGAGGUGAAAUUCGUAGAUAUCGGGAGGAACACCGGUGGCGAAGGCGGCGACCUGGGUAGAUACUGACGCUGAGGCGCGAAAGCGUGGGGAGCAAACAGGG